This 253-nucleotide ribosomal RNA is filed under the name uncultured bacterium. RNAcentral's name for it is "partial 16S ribosomal RNA". It matches the Rfam family "Bacterial small subunit ribosomal RNA", at positions 524 to 776 of the family's 1533-position model. The record is from RNAcentral.
UACGGAGGGUGCAAGCGUUAUCCGGAUUCACUGGGUUUAAAGGGUGCGUAGGAGGGCAGGUAAGUCAGUGGUGAAAUCUCCAAGCUUAACUUGGAAACUGCCGUUGAUACUAUCUGUCUUGAAUACCGUGGAGAUGAGCGGAAUAUGUCAUGUAGCGGUGAAAUGCUUAGAUAUGGCAUAGAACACCAAUUGCGAAGGCAGCUCGUUACACGAAUAUUGACUCUGAGGCACGAAAGCGUGGGGAUCAAACAGG